This 347-nucleotide ribosomal RNA is filed under the name Polyschismium chailletii. Its description in RNAcentral is "bacterial SSU rRNA". It matches the Rfam family "Eukaryotic small subunit ribosomal RNA", at positions 104 to 405 of the family's 1831-position model. Lineage: Eukaryota; Evosea; Eumycetozoa; Physariida; Didymiaceae. The record is from RNAcentral.
AACCAGUUGUAAACUAUAGCAAGCAAUCCUGCGGGCGGCUUCGGCUGCUCGUGGGUAACAUGGAUAACCCUGGUAAUUCUGAGGCUAAUACAAGAACGUACUUCCUGGCUGACCGGCAACGGAAGGCUGGGGAGCGUGCAACGUAUCGUAGGGAUAAACCGGGAAUGGGUGCACGCUUGGACCGCGCUAAAGACAGAUCUCGGCGAGCCUUCGGGUGAGCCUUGGCCUGAGCGGCUCUUGCUGUGUGCUUCUGACCUAUCAACUAGACGGCAGCGUAAGGGACAUGCUAUGGUUACAACGGGUACAGAGGAUUAGGGUUCGAUCCUGGAGAGUGGGCCUGAGAGAUU